UACAGAGGUGCCGAGCGUUAGGCGGAAUCACUGGGCUUAAAGCGUGUGUAGGCGGACGUCUAAGUACCUUGUGAAAUCCCACGGCUCACCCGUGGAACUGCUGGGUAUACUGGGCGUCUUGAGCCACCUAGGGGCCAGCGGAACAAAUGGUGGAGCGGUGAAAUGCGUAGAUAUCGGGAGGAACACCUGUGGCGAAAGCGGCUCACUGCACCACAACUGACGCUGAGGCGCGAAAGCUAGGGGAGCAAACAGG
This 253-nucleotide ribosomal RNA is filed under the name uncultured bacterium. Its description in RNAcentral is "partial 16S ribosomal RNA". It matches the Rfam family "Bacterial small subunit ribosomal RNA", at positions 524 to 776 of the family's 1533-position model. The record is from RNAcentral.